This 23-nucleotide non-coding RNA is filed under the name Arabidopsis thaliana (thale cress). The record is from RNAcentral. Lineage: Eukaryota; Viridiplantae; Streptophyta; Magnoliopsida; Brassicales; Brassicaceae.
CCGCCGACCUAUUAAUGAUCCGA